UAACAAGCAAGAAGGCAUUAUAAUGCUGCUAGCAUAAAUUUGUUCGAUGUGCUAAUGGAGACUUGAAUACUCUAGCUUUUUCAUUCUACUAUGUUUUCCAGACGUAAUGUCAAUUGUAUUACUUCCUUAGGGCAUCGAAUAUUAAGCUCUCCCAUUUUGGUGCUUAAGUUGAUUAUGCAAAUCAAUGCAUGUUUACCAUGAAGUUCAAAGGUUUCAAUUUGGGGCUUUAUCAACAUUUAUGGUCUAGUUGUGGUUAGGAUAAAGCUAUGACAACCAUUGAAUUUGAGCAUUUCAAGUUGGAUAUCACUUUAGCUUAUGAUACAAAAUAGAUUGGGACAAACUUUGUUAUGGAAAGAAUGAGCUUUUCAUUUCAGUAAAAGAAACUGUGUGACUGCUUUACUUAAGUUACCUUAUUGUAUAGCUCAUAUGAUUGUAAUCUUCAGAAGAUUCUGUAAUGAGAUGAGAAAGAUUGAAAAAUGCUAAUUACUUGCAUCACUUAUUUAUACAAAAGAUUUUAACUGUCAUUGUGACUGUUAGUAACUGACUACUAACUACUGUAAUGGAAAAUGAAUUACACUUCAACAAUUAUUGCCA
This 594-nucleotide long non-coding RNA is filed under the name Trifolium pratense (red clover). RNAcentral describes it as "long non-coding RNA (TPRA_LNC004625)". The record is from RNAcentral. Lineage: Eukaryota; Viridiplantae; Streptophyta; Magnoliopsida; Fabales; Fabaceae.